Molecule: non-coding RNA, 46 nt
Filed under: Echinostoma caproni
Lineage: Eukaryota; Metazoa; Platyhelminthes; Trematoda; Plagiorchiida; Echinostomatidae
Source: RNAcentral
GCACUGCUGACGAGUCCCAAACAGGACGAAACAACUUGCCCAGUGC